This 657-nucleotide long non-coding RNA is filed under the name Homo sapiens (human). RNAcentral's name for it is "non-protein coding lnc-RC3H1-3:1". Lineage: Eukaryota; Metazoa; Chordata; Mammalia; Primates; Hominidae. The record is from RNAcentral.
UCAAAAGAUCUGGGCCAGCCAAGGAUUUAAAGAAAUUAUCAUUCCAGGUUAUGGGAACAUGAGAGAUUUCUAACAGAGACCACAGUCUCAAGAAAGGCUUUUUAAGAUGAUAUCUAUGCUCAGACCCCAACUUCAUGCCAUCCAGAACAAAAAGACGACAUGGUUCAUGCUCUCUAAAAAUUCUUGGUACCCAAGUGGUUAAGAACCAUAACUCUGGUAUCUAAGUAAUUUCUAACUACAGUUAUAUAAUAUUGUACUGAACAAUGUCUAGCAUUCCAUAAUGUGCUGGGAUUACAGGCGUGAGCCACCACACCCAGCGAAAUCCUUUUUUUUUUUUUUUUUUAAAGCUGAAUACGCAGAAACAAGAGUAUAGCCACAGUUACCAGGGGAAAGGAGGGGGACGAAAUGGGAAUAAGUAGGUCAAAGGGUACAAACUCGCAGUUAUGUAGGAUGAAUAAGUCUAGAGAGCUAAUGUAUAGCGCGAAGUCUAUAAUUAUUCAUAUUGUAUAGUAUAUAUAAAAUUUGCUAAGACAGAUUUUAGAUGCUUAUACCACAAUUUUAAAAAUUAUAGAAGGAGAUGGAUAGGUUAAUUUGCUUAACUGUAGUAAUCAUUUCAUGAUUUUGUAUCUGUGUAUCAAAACAUAAAAAUCAUUUCAU